UACAGAGGUCUCAAGCGUUGUUCGGAUUCAUUGGGCGUAAAGGGUGCGUAGGUGGCGUCGUAAGUCAGGUGUGAAAUUUCGGAGCUUAACUCCGAAACUGCAUUUGAUACUGCGGUGCUUGAGGACUGGAGAGGAGACUGGAAUUUACGGUGUAGCAGUGAAAUGCGUAGAGAUCGUAAGGAAGACCAGUGGCGAAGGCGGGUCUCUGGACAGUUCCUGACACUGAGGCACGAAGGCCAGGGGAGCAAACGGG
This 253-nucleotide ribosomal RNA is filed under the name uncultured bacterium. RNAcentral describes it as "partial 16S ribosomal RNA". It matches the Rfam family "Bacterial small subunit ribosomal RNA", at positions 524 to 776 of the family's 1533-position model. The record is from RNAcentral.